CCUACGGGAGGCAGCAGUAGGGAAUAUUGCUCAAUGGGGGAAACCCUGAAGCAGCAACGCCGCGUGGAGGAUGAAGGUUUUCGGAUUGUAAACUCCUUUUGUUAGAGAAGAUAAUGACGGUAUCUAACGAAUAAGCACCGGCUAACUCCGUGCCAGCAGCCGCGGUAAUACGGAGGGUGCAAGCGUUACUCGGAAUCACUGGGCGUAAAGAGCGCGUAGGCGGGGUAGCAAGUCAGAUGUGAAAUCCUAGGGCUUAACCAUAGAACUGCAUUUGAAACUGUUAUUCUAGAGUAUGGGAGAGGUAGGUGGAAUUCUUGGUGUAGGGGUAAAAUCCGUAGAGAUCAAGAGGAAUACUCAUUGCGAAGGCGACCUGCUAGAACAUAACUGACGCUGAUGCGCGAAAGCGUGGGGAGCAAACAGGAUUAGAUACCCCUGUAGUC
This 440-nucleotide ribosomal RNA is filed under the name uncultured bacterium. RNAcentral's name for it is "partial 16S ribosomal RNA". It matches the Rfam family "Bacterial small subunit ribosomal RNA", at positions 338 to 795 of the family's 1533-position model. The record is from RNAcentral.